Molecule: ribosomal RNA, 498 nt
Filed under: uncultured bacterium
Lineage: Bacteria
Description: partial 16S ribosomal RNA
Rfam family: Bacterial small subunit ribosomal RNA
Source: RNAcentral
GACGAACGCUGGCGGCGUGCCUAAUACAUGCAAGUCGAGCGGACGAAUCGAAAGCUUGCUUUUGAUUCGUUAGCGGCGGACGGGUGAGUAACACGUGGGCAACCUGCCCUGUAGACGGGGAUAACACCGAGAAAUCGGUGCUAAUACCGGAUAACACGAAAUGUCGCAUGACGUUUCGUCGAAAGACGGCGCAAGCUGUCGCUACAGGAUGGGCCCGCGGCGCAUUAGCUAGUUGGUGAGGUAACGGCUCACCAAGGCGACGAUGCGUAGCCGACCUGAGAGGGUGAUCGGCCACACUGGGACUGAGACACGGCCCAGACUCCUACGGGAGGCAGCAGUAGGGAAUCUUCCGCAAUGGACGAAAGUCUGACGGAGCAACGCCGCGUGAGCGAAGAAGGCCUUCGGGUCGUAAAGCUCUGUUGUUAGGGAAGAACAAGUAACGCAGUAACUGGCGUUACCGUGACGGUACCUAACGAGAAGGCCACGGCUAACUACGUG